GUUGUAUGGUUAAGUGACUAAGCGUACACGGUGGAUGCCUGGGCAGUCAGAGGCGAUGAAGGACGUACUAACUUGCGAUAAGCGCAGAUAAGGCAGUAAGAGCCGUUUGAGUCUGCGAUUUCCGAAUGGGGAAACCCAACUGCAUAAGCAGUUACUGUUAACUGAAUACAUAGGUUAACAGAGCAAACCGGGGGAACUGAAACAUCUAAGUACCCCGAGGAGAAGAAAUCAACCGAGAUUCCGGUAGUAGCGGCGAGCGAACCUGGAUUAGCCCUUAAGCACUCGGUGAAGUAGGUGAACAAGCUGGAAAGCUUGGCGAUACAGGGUGAUAGCCCCGUAACCGACGCUUCAUCGAGCGUGAAAUCGAGUAGGGCGGGACACGUGAUAUCCUGUCUGAAUAUGGGGGGACCAUCCUCCAAGGCUAAAUACUCCUGACUGACCGAUAGUGAACCAGUACCGUGAGGGAAAGGCGAAAAGAACCCCUGUGAGGGGAGUGAAAUAGAACCUGAAACCGUGUACGUACAAGCAGUAGGAGCACCUUCGUGGUGUGACUGCGUACCUUUUGUAUAAUGGGUCAGCGACUUAUAUUCAGUGGCAAGGUUAACCGUAUAGGGGAGCCGUAGCGAAAGCGAGUCUUAACUGGGCGUUCAGUCUCUGGAUAUAGACCCGAAACCGGGUGAUCUAGCCAUGGGCAGGUUGAAGGUUGAGUAACAUCAACUGGAGGACCGAACCGACUAAUGUUGAAAAAUUAGCGGAUGACUUGUGGCUAGGGGUGAAAGGCCAAUCAAACUCGGAGAUAGCUGGUUCUCCCCGAAAGCUAUUUAGGUAGCGCCUCGGACGAAUACUACUGGGGGUAGAGCACUGUUAAGGCUAGGGGGUCAUCCCGACUUACCAACCCUUUGCAAACUCCGAAUACCAGUAAGUACUAUCCGGGAGACACACGGCGGGUGCUAACGUCCGUCGUGGAGAGGGAAACAACCCAGACCGCCAGCUAAGGUCCCAAAGUAUUGCUAAGUGGGAAACGAUGUGGGAAGGCUCAGACAGCUAGGAUGUUGGCUUAGAAGCAGCCAUCAUUUAAAGAAAGCGUAAUAGCUCACUAGUCGAGUCGGCCUGCGCGGAAGAUGUAACGGGGCUAAGCAAUACACCGAAGCUGCGGCAAUGUCUUUUAGACAUUGGGUAGGGGAGCGUUCUGUAAGCCGUUGAAGGUGAAUCGUAAGGUUUGCUGGAGGUAUCAGAAGUGCGAAUGCUGACAUGAGUAACGACAAAGGGGGUGAAAAACCUCCUCGCCGGAAGACCAAGGGUUCCUGUCCAACGUUAAUCGGGGCAGGGUGAGUCGACCCCUAAGGUGAGGCCGAAAGGCGUAAUCGAUGGGAAACGGGUUAAUAUUCCCGUACUUCUGACUAUUGCGAUGGGGGGACGGAGAAGGCUAGGUGGGCCAGGCGACGGUUGUCCUGGUUCAAGUGCGUAGGCUUGAGAGUUAGGUAAAUCCGGCUCUCUCUAAGGCUGAGACACGACGUCGAGCUGCUACGGCAGUGAAGUCAUUGAUGCCAUGCUUCCAGGAAAAGCCUCUAAGCUUCAGAUAGUCAGGAAUCGUACCCCAAACCGACACAGGUGGUCGGGUAGAGAAUACCAAGGCGCUUGAGAGAACUCGGGUGAAGGAACUAGGCAAAAUGGUACCGUAACUUCGGGAGAAGGUACGCUCUUGAUGGUGAAGUCCCUCGCGGAUGGAGCUGACGAGAGUCGCAGAUACCAGGUGGCUGCAACUGUUUAUUAAAAACACAGCACUGUGCAAAAUCGCAAGAUGACGUAUACGGUGUGACGCCUGCCCGGUGCCGGAAGGUUAAUUGAUGGGGUUAGCGCAAGCGAAGCUCUUGAUCGAAGCCCCGGUAAACGGCGGCCGUAACUAUAACGGUCCUAAGGUAGCGAAAUUCCUUGUCGGGUAAGUUCCGACCUGCACGAAUGGCGUAAUGAUGGCCACGCUGUCUCCACCCGAGACUCAGUGAAAUUGAAAUCGCUGUGAAGAUGCAGUGUACCCGCGGCUAGACGGAAAGACCCCGUGAACCUUUACUACAGCUUGGCACUGAACAUUGAACCUACAUGUGUAGGAUAGGUGGGAGGCUAUGAAGACGUGACGCCAGUUGCGUUGGAGCCGUCCUUGAAAUACCACCCUUGUAUGUUUGAUGUUCUAACUUAG
RNAcentral lists this ribosomal RNA (2194 nucleotides) under Vibrio cholerae. RNAcentral's name for it is "partial 23S ribosomal RNA". It matches the Rfam family "Bacterial large subunit ribosomal RNA", at positions 1 to 2230 of the family's 2925-position model. Lineage: Bacteria; Pseudomonadati; Pseudomonadota; Gammaproteobacteria; Vibrionales; Vibrionaceae. The record is from RNAcentral.